This is a small nucleolar RNA of Myotis lucifugus (little brown bat), 74 nucleotides long. The record is from Ensembl. NCBI's taxonomy places the organism in Eukaryota, Metazoa, Chordata, Mammalia, Chiroptera, Vespertilionidae.
UGGACCAAUGAUGACGACUGGUGGGGUAUGAGUCAUGGAUGAUGAAUACUGUAUGUCGGGACUCUGAGGUCCAA